RNAcentral lists this ribosomal RNA (462 nucleotides) under uncultured bacterium. RNAcentral describes it as "partial 16S ribosomal RNA". It matches the Rfam family "Bacterial small subunit ribosomal RNA", at positions 29 to 523 of the family's 1533-position model. The record is from RNAcentral.
AAUGAACGUUGGCGGCAUGGAUUAGGCAUGCAAGUCGGGGGAAUCCCAGCGAUGGGGGAACCGGCGUAAGGGGCAGUAAGGCAUGGGUACCUACCUUGGGGUUCGGGAUAGCCAUCAGAGAUGGUGGGUAAUACCGGAUGACGUCGUGAGACCAAAGAUUUAUCGCCCUUAGAGGGGCCCAUGUGAUAUUAGCUAGUUGGUGGGGUAACGGCCCACCAAGGCGAAGAUGUCUAUCGGGUGUGAGAGCACGACCCGCGCCACUCGCACUGUGACACUGGGGAGACACCUACGGGUGGCUGCAGUCGAGGAUGUUCGGCAAUGAGCGCAAGCUUGACCGAGCGAUGCCGCGUGAGCGAUGAAGGCCUUCGGGUUGUAAAGCUCUUUAGUGGGGGAGAAAAGCCGCAAGGUGUGAUCUAUCCCAAAAAUAAGCACGGGCUAAGUUCGUGCCAGCCGCCGCCGUAA